RNAcentral lists this long non-coding RNA (3425 nucleotides) under Mytilus galloprovincialis (Mediterranean mussel). Lineage: Eukaryota; Metazoa; Mollusca; Bivalvia; Mytilida; Mytilidae. The record is from RNAcentral.
UUGGAAAUUUGCCAAUAUAAAAUGUUGCUGAUGAAGUUUUUUUUAUUGUUUUAUACAAUAAACAAUGUAUAUUCACUUUUACUACCAACCAAUCUUUACCAUUCAGUGAUAACAAGCACUUUAUUUUACAUUUUAAUAUUUUAUGAUGUAUUUAAAAGAGUAGUUAUUGUUGCAAACUCCAUUAGAAAUUUGAAUUGAAUAUCAGUUUUGGAAAAAGGGAAACGGGGAUGUGAAAAAAAGGGGGGUUUAAAUUUUUCUCAUUUCAGAUUUCAUAAAUAAAAAGAAAAUUUCUUCAAACAUUUUUUUGAGAGGAUUAAUAUUCAACAGCAUAGUGAAUUGCUCAAAGGCAAAAAAAAACCUUUUAAGUUCAUUAGACCACAUUCAUUCUGUGUCAGAAACCUAUGCUGUGUCAACUAUUUAAUUUUAGAUUUAAAAAGUUUGAAAAAAAAAUCUUUAAUUGAUUUGUAAAAUCUUGACAUUUGUUUUGUGUAAAAAAAAAACCAUGUAAUGUCAAAAAUUUGAUCACAAUCCAAAUUCAGAGCUGUAUCACGCUUGAAUGUUUUGUCCAUACUUGCCCCAACUGUUCAGGGUUCGACCUCUGCGGUCGUAUAAAGCUGCGCCCUGCGGAGCACCUGGUUGUAACUUGUAUAAAAAUCUUUUCUUAAACUUCUUGGCCAAAUUUAACCAAACUUGGCCACAAUCAUAAUACUAGGGUAUCUAUUUUUAAAAAGAGUGUCUAAUGACCCGGCCUACCAACAAAGAUGGCCGACAUCAGUAAACACAUUAACAGGUGAGCGACACAGGCUCUUGAGAGCCUCUAGUUUUCAUUAUGCUAGACACUGGGACCAAUAUUUUUUUGUAUUCCAAUGUUUAUUGUAGAAAGGACCCAUUUCAUUAUUUUCUGAACGGAUACAAAGUAUCAUUACACACCUUUAUUGUGAUUAUUUUCUAGGUAAAUGGCAUAUACACAUUUGAUUGAAUUUAUUUACAAAUUAUUUACUUGUAUAAUUUACAGAUUGAUCGCUUUUAUGAUAUAACAUUUUUUGUGGCAUUACAAGAUAUUGUGUUGUAUUUUAUAUAGAGCCAUGCACUAACUUAUGGAAAAUAUAUGCCACUAAAAAUUUUGUAAAUCUGUUUAUACCUCUAUGAAAUAUAUUUAACAAAAAAGUCCUUCUGUAUAACCUUUCAUAACUUGCAGACAUCAAAUUAUAAUUAAAAAAGGAUGAAAUCAAGCCAUACUUAAUAUUAACUCACAGUGCCAUUAAAAAUGACAUUUUUGUAAAAGUUAUAAUAGCCAGAACAUUAUUUUUUAAGUUAAGUGUUAACAUAAAACAUAAAAGUUUUAAAUUUUUUUUUUACUUUAAUCUUAUAAUUAUUUACCUAUAAGUUAGUUAGAUAAUAUAUUUUUUUUAUUUCUUGAAGACAGAGAUAGUAGAUAGGUGCUUUGUUAUGUUAGUUUUUUCCUGCAUUAUCAAUCAUGUUUUAUAAGAGUUGUGAUGCAUAUGUUGUGCAGUUAUUGUUUUGAUUGUUUGUAUGUUUAAAUAUCUCUAUGAGAGGGAAAGGAAAUCCAUUUUAACAUCUGUUUUAUAAUACUUUGUUAAUAUUAGAUGUGUAUUAUCAUGUAGAUAUGUAUUCAAUAUAUGGUGCUGUUAAAGCUUAUUGUUGUGGCAGAGAGGAUAGGAAGCUUCUUUCUAUUUUUAAGGAAAAGUGGGGGUUUGUGGACACUAAAAAAUUUAGAAAUGGCAUUAAGUAAUAUGCUUGUUUUUCAACUUGUGACCGAAUAUCUUUAAUUUUUUCUUCAUUUAAAUUCAUGCCCAUAUUUUAGGGUAAUAUAGAAUCUUUAAAAUGAUCUUGUUGUUUAUGCCAUUAAAAUGUUCAGUAUAUUUUUGUCAGAAUUUCUUUGAAAAGCCAAAACAAAAAAAAUGCAUAUUUGUAAAUAGGAGCUUAAUUUCACUUUAAGGUAAUAUUUUUGUCCCCAAACUUUUGUUUCAUAAUUUUAGUUAUUAACAAAGUUCUAACUUAACACUGCUUGCUUACAUGCAUAGUUGACCAGUUUAGUUUUAUUUCUUCAGGUCUUUUAGUCAUUAUUUUGUUGGAUAUUUUUUAACAUUGUUAAAACACCAAUAGGUUGUGAGUUUAAAAUGUUUUUAUUUUACAUAGUUUAUUGUUUUUUUGUUUAUGUAUAAUUUUGGGGUAAUGGUUGUGUGUAAUAUUCUCUUUUUUUCCCUCACUUUAUUAAAGCAAUCAAAUUUUGUAUUUUACACGAUUAAAAGAACUUUAUAUUUUUCUUUUUGUAAACAAUUGAUGUUGUACUAAUAAGUUAAACUUCUGUUUAGGUAUAUAAUUAUGUAGGAGUUUGUUUAUUUUGUGUCAGUCUUUCUGUAUUUGAGUUGUUACGCCUAUAUUGUAUCAGUUUUGUAAAUGCUCAAAAUCUUUUUGUUCUAGAUCUGACAAUCUGUAUAGAUUUAAAACUUACCUAUAUAUAUGUUGUUAUAAAUAAUGUCAUUGAAGAUUAAGAUCUGUCAUAAUUUUGUUUAAUUCGUCGUUUCAGAAUCUAAGGUAUACUGGGUAAUAUUUUUAAAUAGCUACAUUAAAAUGUUUUGAUCUGCCAAUUAAGCCCAAUUAAGUUAAUUGGUUAAUAUUAUUCUUGUUGUAUGUGAUAAGAACAAUCAAAUUGCUCUUUGUCCUUUGACAUUCUGAAAUGUUAAUUCUUCUUAACUACUUGAUCAAUAUCAUGGCUAUAAAUGGCUUCUUUUUUUAGGGUAAAAUGAAAAGUGUUGGCAAUAUAUUUAUCUCUUCUUUAUUUUAUUUUAUAAUUUUUGUGUUAGAUUCUGUCGUAUUAGAACUUGUUAUUGUGACAUGACUGUAAGUGUUGCUCUACACCUAUUGCAGUUCAUAUAAAGUUCUGACCAAAUUGCAAUUUGUCCUUUCAUAAUGUGCAUUAUCAUCAUAAGCAUCAUGUACAAUACAAUUAAUGAUGUUGUUGCAACCAAGCUAGAAAUUGGAAAAUAUUUCUGUAUUCAUAUCAUAUUGCAUGACUCACCUGAAUCAAAUUUCUUGGACGCAAUAUUAAUUGCGGUAACAUGUAUAAUUCUGAAUUGGUCUAUUUGUACUACAUGUAUUGUAAAAUAUUUACACCUAUAAUUUACCAGGGUAGAGUUUCAAUCACUGUAAGCUUUCUCAUCACUCAUACUCAGUUAAUCAGUGCAAUAUAAUUAGAAUCUCUAUUACACAUGUAAUACACUUUGUUUGUCUUAUUACACAUGUAGGUUGUGUGUUACACAUGUAGGUUAUGUAUAAAAGAUGUAGGUUAACUUAGCAUUCCGCCUUUACAUUCCUUUUUUGUUACUUUUGGUCUUUGUUUACUAAUUUAAUAAAGCUAAUAUAUAUAAUAUGUCAAUAAAGUUUCUUUUAUUAUCAACUUA